This 329-nucleotide long non-coding RNA is filed under the name Carica papaya (papaya). RNAcentral's name for it is "long non-coding RNA (CPAP_LNC015694)". Lineage: Eukaryota; Viridiplantae; Streptophyta; Magnoliopsida; Brassicales; Caricaceae. The record is from RNAcentral.
UAUGAAUAAAUUUGAAGAAGACAAAAAAAAAAGAAACAGACUAGGCUUGUAGCUGUAAGAGAAGUGCUCCUUGGUUGCACUCUAGAAUGCAGCAAAAGAAAAGAACAAGAAGAAUAAGAAGAACAAGAAAAAGAAGAAUAUGUAGUAGUAGUAGGAGUAGUAAUAGCAGCAGUAGUGAUAGCAAUAUUACUACUAGUUGCACUAAUAGUAGCAGUAGCAAUAUUAGCAGUAACAGGAGCAGUAACAGUAGUAGUAGUAGUGGUAGUAUCAAUAGCAGUAGUGGCAGUGAUAGCAGUAGUAGCAGUUGUACCAGUAGUAGCAAUAACAAC